UAAGACAGAGGGUGCAAACGUUGCUCGGAAUUACUGGGCGUAAAGCGCGUGUAGGCGGACCAACAAGUCGGACGUGAAAGCCCUGGGCUCAACCCAGGAACUGCAUCCGAAACUGUUGGUCUGGAGUGGUGGAGAGGGAAGCAGAAUUCCUGGUGUAGAGGUGAAAUUCGUAGAUAUCAGGAGGAACACCGGUGGCGAAGGCGGCUUCCUGGACACUUACUGACGCUGAGACGCGAAAGCGUGGGGAGCAAACAGGAUUAGAUACCCUGGUAGUCCACGCCGUAAACGAUGAGUGCUGGGUGUCGUGGGUUUUGACCCCCGCGGUGCCGUAGCUAACGCGUUAAGCACUCCGCCUGGGGAGUACGGCCGCAAGGCUA
This 377-nucleotide ribosomal RNA is filed under the name uncultured bacterium. RNAcentral describes it as "bacterial SSU rRNA". It matches the Rfam family "Bacterial small subunit ribosomal RNA", at positions 521 to 896 of the family's 1533-position model. The record is from RNAcentral.